CUACGCCGGCAGGCGCGGGUAACCCGUUGAACCCCAUUCGUGAUGGGGAUCGGGGAUUGCAAUUAUUCCCCAUGAACGAGGAAUUCCCAGUAAGUGCGGGUCAUAAGCUUGCGUUGAUUAAGUCCCUGCCCUUUGUACACACCGCCCGUCGCUACUACCGAUUGGAUGGUUUAGUGAGGCCCUCGGAUCGGCCCCGCCGGGGUCGGCCCACGGCCCUGGCGGAGCGCUGAGAAGACGGUCGAACUUGACUAUCUAGAGGAAGUAAAAGUCGUAACAAGGUUUCCGUAGGUGAACCUGCAGAAGGAUC
RNAcentral lists this ribosomal RNA (307 nucleotides) under Odocoileus virginianus (white-tailed deer). RNAcentral's name for it is "SSU rRNA". It matches the Rfam family "Eukaryotic small subunit ribosomal RNA", at positions 1528 to 1827 of the family's 1831-position model. The record is from RNAcentral. Lineage: Eukaryota; Metazoa; Chordata; Mammalia; Artiodactyla; Cervidae.